AAGAAUUUGUUCCACUUCUAUUUGAUUCCAUACGCAAGUGAACUGCUCUUGUGAUUUUGCCUGAAACGACAACUAUAGUUAAUUCUUUGAGUAUAACGCAUCAACAAGUUCAUCCAAAUUCAAAAUGGGACACUAGGUUCUUCGGAGGAGGGAACAUUUGUUCCUACCACUAGGCUUACUGGAAAAAAUGUAGAAAAAUUAAAACGUGGAGCCUUGCUGGAGCAAAUGGCUUGAGAGAACUUUGUUCAAUUCUGUAUUGCCCCCCCCCCCCCCACCCCCCCCCCCCCCCCUCUGUAACUUUGCCUGACUGGGCUCUUCUCCUCAGUUAAUAUAAUAGGUAAAUCUCCUGCAUGUUCGUUUAAAAAAAAACUUGGUACUAGAAGAAAAAAGGGGACACUCUAUAAUUCUAUAUAUUCAACUUUAUUAGAAAAUUAUGGACUUGAAACAAUGAGCUAAUGGUUUCUCAUCUUCAUUACUCCCUCCAAUAAAUAAUAAAGUUCCGUUUUGGACAUCGACAUGGUCUAGAAAAAAAUAUUUAUACAACAUAACACAAAUGUACUUUUAUGAAACCGUAGUUUGAGACAGAUCUAGAUAGCAUUGUAUCAUUUUCAAAUAUUCAAACUCAACCCAUAAAAAGUAAUAUACAACCGGAAUUUGAAAGUAUUGACUUAAAACAAUCCCAAAACGCCACUUAUUUAUGCCUGGACAGAGUAUUUCCGUUGUACCAAAUGGUUGUUCUUCCUAUAGUUGCAUAUGUGUAAUGCAAGUUUCGUGGCUAACAGCCAUGAUUCGAGUCCUACUGUUACAAAUUAUUUGGUUUUACUAACUUUGACUAGUGAUGUUUUGGUUGAUGAGUCGGAAGGACAGUGUGUGGUAAGUUGGUAACUAACUAACUAACCUUGAAAAAAAAAGUUAUGCAAUAUAUAAAAUAGCUAGCAUUGCAAGUGGCGUACAGAGACUUAUAGAUUUGGUUCGUCCGACAUUCUAAUUCCUCAAUACAAGAAUCCAGAAUUGACCGCCUGUAUGCUGUUUCACAAAUUUAAUUUAAGUAGCAAGUUUUUCCAGUGAGUUCAAAAAUAUUUAAUUUUAAUUAAUCAACUGUCUAUAUGCUACUAGCAAAGCUAGGUCCAAAUCACUUUCCACAAUUCUUAAUAAAAGGCUCGAUAUGUUCUUGUAACCUUCC
RNAcentral lists this long non-coding RNA (1183 nucleotides) under Setaria viridis. Its description in RNAcentral is "long non-coding RNA (SVIR_LNC010071)". The record is from RNAcentral. Lineage: Eukaryota; Viridiplantae; Streptophyta; Magnoliopsida; Poales; Poaceae.